RNAcentral lists this non-coding RNA (231 nucleotides) under Trinickia caryophylli. Its description in RNAcentral is "Burkholderia caryophylli Burkholderia sRNA Bp1_Cand871_SIPHT". It matches the Rfam family "Burkholderia sRNA Bp1_Cand871_SIPHT". Lineage: Bacteria; Pseudomonadati; Pseudomonadota; Betaproteobacteria; Burkholderiales; Burkholderiaceae. The record is from Rfam by way of RNAcentral.
UCGCCCACAAUGCCUUCAACGGUUUCAACACGGAUGUUGUUGAACGCCGGUCACUUUCGAUGUGCGCAAUGCAUGACAAAUCGAAGGCUUGGCUGGAUCCCGAAUUUGGGGAACAUCUUUGUUGGAGCCGUUGCAGGUGGCAAUGCAGCGCCUGUUUGGUUCCUUCAUUGGUCUCCUCGCGCUAACCCCGUAGCGUGUGGUUUUUAGCGGGCCGCUGGCCCGCUUUUUUUU